This 445-nucleotide ribosomal RNA is filed under the name uncultured soil bacterium. RNAcentral describes it as "bacterial SSU rRNA". It matches the Rfam family "Bacterial small subunit ribosomal RNA", at positions 26 to 518 of the family's 1533-position model. The record is from RNAcentral.
AGAGCGAACGCUGGCGGCAGGCCUAACACAUGCAAGUCGAACGGACCCUUCGGGGUUAGCGGCGGACGGGUGAGUAACACGUGGGAACGUGCCUUUUGGUUCGGAAUAGCUCCUGGAAACGGGUGGUAAUGCCGAAUGUGCCCUUCGGGGAAAGAUUUAUCGCCAUUAGAGCGGCCCGCGUCUGAUUAGCUAGUUGGUGAGGUAAAGGCUCACCAAGGCUACGAUCAGUAGCUGGUCUGAGAGGAUGACCAGCCACAUUGGGACUGAGACACGGCCCAAACUCCUACGGGAGGCAGCAGUGGGGAAUCUUGCGCAAUGGGCGAAAAGCCUGACGCAGCCAUGCCGCGUGAAUGAUGAAGGUCUUAGGAUUGUAAAAUUCUUUCACCGGGACGAUAAUGACGGUACCCGGAGAAAGAAGCCCCGGCUAACUCGUGCCAGCAGCCGC